This 229-nucleotide ribosomal RNA is filed under the name uncultured bacterium. Its description in RNAcentral is "partial 16S ribosomal RNA". It matches the Rfam family "Bacterial small subunit ribosomal RNA", at positions 568 to 796 of the family's 1533-position model. The record is from RNAcentral.
UACGUAGGCGGAAAAUUAAGUCAGUAGUGAAAUCCUGCAGCUCAACUGUAGAACUGUUAUUGAUACUGGUUUUCUUGAAUAUUGUUGAGGUAGGCGGAAUGUGUAAUGUAGCGGUGAAAUGCUUAGAUAUUACACGGAACACCGAUUGCGAAGGCAGCUUACUAAGCAAUUAUUGACGCUGAGGUACGAAAGCGUGGGGAGCGAACAGGAUUAGAUACCCUGGUAGUCC